RNAcentral lists this long non-coding RNA (7680 nucleotides) under Triticum aestivum (bread wheat). RNAcentral's name for it is "long non-coding RNA (TAES_LNC000131)". Lineage: Eukaryota; Viridiplantae; Streptophyta; Magnoliopsida; Poales; Poaceae. The record is from RNAcentral.
AGAAGUUUGAAUUCAAAUCUGAUCUAAUUCAAAUUUUUAAAAUUUCAAAAACAUGUUUGAGUUGGAUUACUGGUUAGAGAUCAUAACGAAGACGUGGGCAUUGGUUUCGUUGGAUUUGGACAAACGAGUAAAAAGUUGUAGACGUUGGAAAUCAGGGGCUAAUCUAUAAAUAAAUUAUUCACAGAUGGGUCCCUGGCCGAAAAUAACAGAAAAAUAAAAAGCUAAAUAGUGAACGUUCGUUUAUAGGAUCUAAACAGUGGACGUUCGCAGUAUAACUAAACUUAAAAAAAAACAGAUCUAGGUUUUCUGUACAAAACCGAUCUAGGGUUUUUUGAAAAGAAAAACUAAGAAAAAACCAAAGCGGUUUAUUACCGGUUCGGAAUUUCGACGAAAACCAACGGUUUUUUGGCGGCGGACCGGGUCGGCGGUGGCGGGGUUCGUCGGCGUCGGAGAAGGGCGGCGGGCAGCUCGGGCUCGACCGGAGCGGCGGCUCUGGUGGCCUGCGGCGAGGGCGAAGUGGACGGGGAGGGGCGGCGCUGAGCGGCGGUCCCGUUGGCGGUGGUGGUGGCGACCGAGCGCGCUGGUGGAGCGCGGGGCGAGGCGGCGGAUCUCGCCGGCGGCGGCGGCUAUGCGGCUCGAGGCGGCGGCGAGAAGAGAGGAGAGAGAGAGGGGGGUCCGGCUCCUUUUUAAAGGGCCCUCGGGUGUGGCGCCUUGCGCGAGGGGCAGGGGAAGUCCGGCCUCGGCACGGACGCCGAGGUCGGCGCGGCGGCGCGCCGUGGCGCGGCUGGAAACCGAGCGGAGCUCGGGGACGAGCGGCAUGGGCCGUUGGGCCGCGGCCUGGCUCGGGCGCUGGGCCGGCCCAGUCGGCGACAGGGGGAGAGAGGAGAGAGAGAGCAGUGCUGGGCUUCGGCCUGGCACUGUUCGAAAAGAGUUUUUUCUUUAACAAAGAGAAAAAGAAAUAAAAUAUAAAAUAAAAUAUUAUAUAGGCAUAUAAUAUAUCAAAAUUUUCAGAAAAAGAUUUCCUACAGCGCGAACAUUUUUCUAAAGGCAAAUAAAAUCCUCAAAAAUUCAAAUAAAUCAAACAGUGCUACUGCCUUAAUAAAAUCCAAUAAAAAUUAUUUUUAAAAUACCCAAAAUGAUUUCAAAUUUAUUUCUCUCCAAUUUUCUGUUGUAGGGAAUCAUGUUACCCUAUUUUCUGUAUACUUUAUUUUUGGAGAAAAAUAAUUUGAAUAAAACUCAAAUAACUCCAAUAUUGAAAAAUAAUUUCAAUGGAACUUUGAAUUUAAUCCUUUGAAACUCCCAACUCAUAUUUCAUUUGUUUUGAAGAAGUCAUUUUAUCUUCUCUCGUGAAAAUCAUUGAGUUGCAUAAAGUUUCAGAAAUGGGAAAUAUUUUCAAAUGAAAUUCAAAUAUUUUGAACACCCCUUGUCAUUUAAAUAAAUGGAAGAAGUCAUGUCAUCUUCUCUCCAGGGUUUUGUGGUGAAAAGAAUUUGAAUUCAUGGAGAUCAUAAAAGCAAAAUGAAAGUUUGGGAAAGUACGUUUAUUCCCUCUCAUUUAACUUUCAAAAGAUUUCGAAUUCCACUCACUUUCAGUCAAUCAAUCAAACAAUCAAUCCAAUCUAUCUGUUUAUUAUAACAUUCCAAAAUUUAGAAUUUUGGGAUGUUACAAACCUACCACCCUUAAAAUGAAUCUCGUCCUCGAGAUUCGGAGAGGCUAGAAAGAAAUAGGUUAGGAUUUGGGGUCUUCUCAAAAUCCAUUGAUCAUCACCGGUGUCUGGGGUGCUACCACCCUUAGAAGCAUGGUUACGGUUCCAUCAAAACUCAUAUACUCCAUCCAUUAUUCUUGACAGUGUCGGUCUUCUCAGAUCUUCAGUAUAAUUCCUUCUCUGGGCUCUUCCGGUGGUGGCAUAACCUUUUCCUCAAUUCUUGUGUCCAUUCCAUCUUGGUAAGGUUAUUCCAUGACUGGGUCUUCUUAGCUGACGGGUCAGGCGCCAAUACUAAACAACUAUCGACAUCUCAUGGUGGUCAACAAUUUAUGGUUUCUCCUGCAGGAAAUGGGUCUGGUUGAUCCUCACCGUAUAACCUACGAUUGGCAUCAACUGCCGUGUACAAGGGAAACAUUCUUAUACCAUUCUAAGGUUCAAGCAAGGUUUAAUACCGUCGUCUCUCUACUAUAGGUAGGUCACUCAGAUUUACCAUACCAUAUAGCAAAGUGAACAAUAAGAGUAAGUCGGUAUGGUGAUCAAUCCAUCCCGCACCCAAAUCAUUACCUUUUAUAUGGUUUAGCGAAUCUCGCAUUGUAACACUCGGUCAUCCUCACAAGCAUUGCAGAAUUUCUCUUGUCAACGAACUAGGUUCGGAUAAAUCCAUGGAUUCUGCAAGCCAAACAAACAUCUAACGUUCCUUCCCAACCCUCAGGUUUUGCGUAACUCCUAUAAGAUCGUCUAUCGAUAAAAAUCGUAACUUCUUCCAGGGUCUUUCCUUCAUCAAGAAAUGUGCUUGCUUUUUGGCAGGUCCUGGGGCCUGUGGGUUAUGGCCCACCUCAUCACUGGUAAACCUUGAACUCAUCAUCGGGGAAACUGAUCCUUAAUCCAACAUCCAACUUCCUAGUAUUCUUAAAUCCAUCCAAUUGUAUUGUCUACCUUCCUUCUAUUGGCACCAAACUAGGACAUGAUUACUCAGACUCAUUAUGGAAUUUCCAUUGAUCCAUAUUUCCAACAUCAUACCUCCUUUAUAUCCAAUAGUAAUUUAUCCCUUCAUCCUCGUGGGAUAUACCACAUACCGAGAUAAAAAAACACUUAUACUUAUGAAGUCCAUACUCCACUUCGUGGAACAUAAUUAUCCUUUCCAGGGUCAAGCGUCCUUACAGGGGAAUAUUGGCCAUCUCUGCAUGGCACUUCUUCAACUGGGAAACGUGAAACACAUCAUGAACUCCUGACAGUCCUUCGGCUGACUCCAGCUUGUUGGCCACUUCUCCCAUACUCUCCAAAACUCGGUAUGGUCCUACAAAUCUCGGGACUAACUUUCCUUAACUCCAAAUCGUUUAACUCCUCGCAGAGGGGACACACGAAGACAUGCUCUGUCUCCAAUCUCAUAGACUACCUCCUUACGUUUUUGAUUCUGCAUAACUCUUCUGUCUGGACUAAGCUACCUUCAGUCUAUCUUGAAUCAACUUAACAUUCUCUUCUGACUACUUGAUCACAUUUGGUCCAAACAACUGACGGUCUCCAACUUCAUCCCACAUCAACGGUGUCUGGCUCCUUCUCCCAUACAAAGCUUCAAAAGGGGCCAUCUUCAAACUGGCUUGGUAACUGUUGUCGUAUGAGAACUCCGCGUAAGGUAGAUUAUCAUCCCUACUAGAUCCAUAAACUAGCGCACACGCUCUCAACAUGUCCUCCAGAAUCUGAUUGACUCUCUUGGUCUAUCCAUCUGUCUGCGGAUGAAAGGCUAUACUGAACUCUAGCCUAGUACCCAAAGUCUGGUGCAGCUGAUUCCAAAACUUUGAGGUAAAUUGUGUUCCUCUAUCUGAUACGAUGGUCCUCGGAACUCCAUGCAGAAAUACGGUCCCGGUCGUAUAUAUCUUGGCCAACUUCGCACUUGUAUAGGUGGUUUUCAUUGGGAUAAAGUGAGCCACUUUGGUCAAGCGAAUCAACUACUACCCAGAUAGAAUCAUAUCCCGUUCUGGUUCUGGGAAAUCCGGUAAUGAAAUCCAUGCCAAGCUUAUCCCACUUCCAUUCGGGUAUCGGCAUAGGCUGUAGAAAUCCUGCUGGCUUCUGAUGCUCUGCCUUUACUCUCUGGCAUACAUCACCUUCGACUACAUACUCGGCAAUAUCCUUCUUCAUACCAGUCCACCAGAAAUGCUCCUUAAAAUCCAAAUACAUCUUGGUGUUUCCAGGGCGAAUCGAGUAUGGUGAGUCAUGAGCCUCCUGAAGUAGUAACUUCCUGAUCUUUGCAUUAUUGGGCACAUAUACACGGUCCUCGAACCAUAAGGUGUCGGGCUCAUCCUUACGAAAAUCCUUGGCCUUUCCUUUGCUCAUUCUCACUUUUAUCUCGGCAAUCUCUUUGUCAUCCUUCUGAGCUUCACGGAUCUUUCCCAACAAUGUAGACUGAACUUCCAUUGCUGCAACAAAACCUUUGGGAACAAUCUCCAACCGAAGUUCCCUGAGAUCCUCUUCUAACUCCUUUGGUAAUCCUCCGCUUAUGAGGGUAUUCGUCCUUGUUUUCUUUAUGGUUGUGUCCUAUUUCUCCACAAAGCUUGCAUGCGCACGUUUUCUUCAUAUCCUUCCCAUAAGGCCUCAACUUUUGGGACACAAGCCAAGACUUUAACAAAGUCCACUUAAAUUCCUUCCAAGUGGUUACUUCUUGCCAUCCAUUGAUGGUUUGGUACAUCCUCCACCAAGUAGCAGCACCUCUUUCAAAACAUUGAAGAGCAUGCCGGGUCAUAUCCCUCCCGGCUAUAGGGUUAUUCUCCAUGUGAUCCUCCAUGUUCUGAAUCCAUCGGUCCGUCUCCAAUUGACUCAUCGGUCCAGAAAAUACAAACUCAUCUCCAUUCAUCCUCUAUUGGGUCCAUGGGUUUGGGGUGAGAUAAGAGAGGUCGAGAGGGAUGCACACAAUACAAACAAAAUUUUGAAAAGACAGAUUUUUUUAUUGUGGCUAUCGGAAAAACAACAAACAAAUGACAGCUCACAAACGUCGCAUCUAACGUAGGUAUAAUAGGGGUUUGGUCUUCUAAAGGUCAAUAAGUCUUCAACGUCGCCAAACUGUUCAAGUCUUGUUAAUGUCUCCGAUGGCUUCUUCCAAUCAUGCUUGUCCUUCUCAAGUUCUUUUGCCAAAUCAUCUCUGUUGACGCGAAGUCUCUCGUGACGUCCUUUAAAUUUCUGGAGUUGCGUUCCAAAAUUCUGGGUUUCAACAUCCUUGACAUGAACCAUGAUCCUACUGUCCUUCAGUUCCUGACGAGUCUUUGAUGUCUCGAGGUUUUGCUCCUCCAUCAUGGCUACUUUCAACUUCUGGGUUCUGAGUUCUUCACGAAACGCUUACUUGCCGAAUACUGCUUCCUAAAGGUUCAUCUUUAAACUUCCUGAUGUAAUGCUCCAGAUCCUGGUGAUACACCAGCUAAGGUUAAAACUUCGUCUUGCUGAUAGGUGCUCCAUCAGCCUUCUACCAUCCAAUCCUUCCAUGCAUCUGCAUGCUUAACUCCGCAUGGUGACAAUAGCGUAAAUGGGUAAUAACACCAUGGUCAGCCGUGUCUAUGCCCAUGUUACUGCCAUGAGCUUUCAUUCCAUAACUGAUAUCUCCUGUCUUUGGGUUUUCUUAACAAAAACUUUGAGUUUCUAACUCUCCAUGUUUCGGUCUUUCUCCGAUACACCUUGAUCUCGGGCAUUGACGGCUUCCAUAGUCUACCAAGUUCCAUGAGGGUAACCUUCCUAGGUCAUACACAUCUGGCAAUUCUUCAGAGCCUUCAAAUUCUCCCAGUCUUCGGAAUCUUCAACCCUUGUGGUUUCCAUUAUCAUAAUGCAUGGUAAAAUCCCCUUCAUUCCGUAGUGGUCGUGGUUGUCCGAUAUCUUGUACUUCUUGGAUUGGUCUCAUCAGUCGAAUCUUUGAGUGGUCAAAAGGGGAAAGGGAUAUGGUCUACUAAAAGGGAAUAUUUGAAUAAGCUCAGAAGAGAAGAGAGGUAAAAGAUCCUUUUGAAAAAGAAAGUUUUAGAGAAAAUCCUUUCUAUGGGCUUGCCAGUUUCUAGGGUCACGUCCUACAGUCAACAUGUGCUCUGAUACCAUCUUGUAAUGACCCGACCCAAAUGGAUCAAGUCUCUGUGCUUAAGUGUCAUCCCUGGAUCGGUAUGCUGACACACACAGUACUCGAGGAUUUAUAACAGAGGUAAAUCACAUGUAUAAAAUAACAUAAAUACUAUUACCUCAAUCCAAAAUAGCGGAAGUAACAAGGUUGUGGAUUCCCAUCAACACCAACGGCAAAGUUGAGUGUAGAAAUCGUAACCCUAACGUAUCACUUACUCGUCUUAAGAAUCCUGCAACAUGAAACGUUGCAGCCCGAAAACGGGUCAGCACAUGGAAUAUGCUGGCAAAUUCAUACCAUAGAGAAAUGAUGAACAAAGGCUAUCACUACAUGCAUAUAUGGCUGGUGGAAAAUCUCUAUGGUUAUAAUGUUUUUGCGAAAAGCCAAUUUUUCCCUACUUCAAAGGAAUAAAUUUUAUUUAACUAUCAUGGUGGUUGUGAAACAUUGAGAUGGUUGACAGCAUCUCAAUCCCAAUUAAGAAUGUGAUUAAACCCAAAUCAAAUUUAAAUUAAGUAACAUGAUGAGAUCAACGGGAUAAUCCAAGAACUAGAUACUCAAGAUGUCCAUAACCGGGGACACGGCUAAUCAUGAUUAGUUUGUACACUCUGCAGAGGUUUGCACACUUUUCCCCACAAGACUCGAUCUCCUCCGUUGGAUUUCUCACACUACAUGGUGUUUGAGAAACGGAUGAUCGAGACACAGUCUUUCAGAAGCAUUUACUCUCUACUCCGGGCAGACCGUUACACCUACAAUCCCCCUACAUCUGCUAGUCCACCUCUUCAAGAGCUCACACAACUUACUCAACUAUGCCAGUGCCCAUAAUGGCUUCUGGCUGCACACGGAAGUUUCUAGCAUGAAUAAUCUUAUGAUCCCUUUGAGUCUGGGUGGCGGUCCAUAGGAUGAUCACACGGGUACUCCGGGAUAUCCAAAAAUACAGGCAACACUGGGUUCUCUAGGUGCCUCAAUCCACCCAGAUGUUUAUUUAAGUAGCCACCUUAAGUUGAACCAUUAAUUAACAAUCUCACAUCUGUCAUGGAAAUUGACUCAAACCCAAUCCACGUCUACGAGCAUAGCAUAGCAAUAUAAGAAAACGUGAAGUAACUCCCAAAGGUUUGAUUGUAAACAGGGCAAUAGGUACUACCUCAUCAACUACUUCCCAAUACCCACAUGUUAUCAAUCCUACUCAUGCAAUGUUUGAGGGUUGAAUCUAAUGCAUAAAAACUGGGUAUGAAAGGGAUAUGAUCAAAGUGUGAACUUGCCUGCAAUGUUGAUGAAGAUGAUUCGCACUCAAUACUCUGGAUAGAUCUACUCGUCACACUCCGGUCAAUCUAUCGUAAGCAAGCAAUGGUAACCACACAUAAGCAAUCACUCAAAAGAUCAGAAAGAACGAGGAAAACAAUUCGGAAAACUUCAAAACCAAGGAAAUAACUCUUGCAACAUAAAACAAUUUCUAACAGUACCCAAAAUUAGGUGAAUUUGGCCUUAUCAGAAAGUUUAGGUCAAGAGCUUCGGUUUGCAAAAAGAAUCAACUCAAACGGAGUUACGGAACUUAAGUUAUGAUAAAAAGAAGUUUGAAUUCAAAUAUGAUCUACUUCAAAUUUUUAAAAUUUCAAAAACAUGUUUGAGUUGGAUUACUGGUUAGAGGAGAUCAUAAUGAAGACGUGGGCAUUGGUUUCGUUGGAUUUGGACAAACGAGUAAAAAGUUGUAGACGUUGGAAAUCAGGGGCUAAUCUAUAAAUAAAUUAUUCAUAGAUGGGUCCCUGGCCGAAAAUAACAGAAAAAUAAAAAGCUAAAUAGUGAACGUUCAUUUAUAGGAUCUAAACAGUGGACGUUCGCAGUAUAACUAAACUUAGAAAAAACAGAUCUAGGUUUUCUGUAGAAAACCGAUCUAGG